AACGAACGCUGGCGGCAGGCCUAAUACAUGCAAGUCGAACGGCAGCACAGCAGAGCUUGCUCUGUGGGUGGCGAGUGGCGGACGGGUGAGGAAUACAUGGGAAUCUGCCCAGUCGUGGGGGAUAACGUAUGGAAACGUACGCUAAUACCGCAUGCGCCCUAAGGGGGAAAGCCGGGGACCGCAAGGCCUGGCGCGAUUGGAUGAGCCCAUGUUCGAUUAGCUAGUUGGCGGGGUAAAGGCCCACCAAGGCGACGAUCGAUAGCUGGUCUGAGAGGAUGAUCAGCCACACUGGAACUGAGACACGGUCCAGACUCCUACGGGAGGCAGCAGUAGGGAAUAUUGGACAAUGGGGGCAACCCUGAUCCAGCCAUGCCGCGUGAGUGAAGAAGGCCCUCGGGUUGUAAAGCUCUUUUGUCCGGAAAGAAAAGACAUCUGGUUAAUACCCGGGUGUUCUGACGGUACCGGAAGAAUAAGCACCGG
Molecule: ribosomal RNA, 480 nt
Filed under: uncultured bacterium
Lineage: Bacteria
Description: bacterial SSU rRNA
Rfam family: Bacterial small subunit ribosomal RNA
Source: RNAcentral